RNAcentral lists this ribosomal RNA (492 nucleotides) under uncultured Chloroflexota bacterium. Its description in RNAcentral is "bacterial SSU rRNA". It matches the Rfam family "Bacterial small subunit ribosomal RNA", at positions 903 to 1382 of the family's 1533-position model. The record is from RNAcentral. Lineage: Bacteria; Bacillati; Chloroflexota.
CGCCUUGCCAGCCCGCUCAGAACUCAAAGGAAUUGACGGGGGCCCGCACAAGCAGCGGAGCGUGUGGUUUAAUUCGAUGAUACGCGAAGAACCUCACCCAGGUUUGACAUGCACGUGGUACUGAUCCGAAAGGUGAUGGACCCUUCGGGGAGCGUGCACAGGUGUUGCAUGGCCGUCGUCAGCUCGUGCCGUGAGGUGUUGGGUUAAGUCCCGCAACGAGCGCAACCCCUGUCGCCAGUUGUAUUUUUCUGGCGAGACUGCCGAGAAAACCUCGGAGGAAGGAGGGGAUGAUGUCAGGUCAGCAUGGCCCUUACGCCUGGGGCUACACACACGCUACAAUGGGCAGUACAACGGGCAGCCAAGCCGCGAGGUGGAGCUAAUCCCACAAAGCCAUCCUCAGUUCGGAUUGCAGGCUGAAACUCGCCUGCAUGAAGCCGGAGUUGCUAGUAACCGCAGGUCAGCACUACUGCGGUGAAUACGUUCCCGGGCCUU